This 588-nucleotide ribosomal RNA is filed under the name uncultured bacterium. Its description in RNAcentral is "bacterial SSU rRNA". It matches the Rfam family "Bacterial small subunit ribosomal RNA", at positions 338 to 916 of the family's 1533-position model. The record is from RNAcentral.
CCUACGGGAGGCAGCAGUGGGGAAUUUUGGACAAUGGGCGCAAGCCUGAUCCAGCAAUGCCGCGUGAGUGAAGAAGGCCUUCGGGUUGUAAAGCUCUUUUGUCAGGGAAGAAACGGUGGAGGCUAAUAUCCUUUGCUAAUGACGGUACCUGAAGAAUAAGCACCGGCUAACUACGUGCCAGCAGCCGCGGUAAUACGUAGGGUGCAAGCGUUAAUCGGAAUUACUGGGCGUAAAGCGUGCGCAGGCGGUUUUGUAAGUUUGUCGUGAAAUCCCCGGGCUCAACCUGGGAAUGGCGAUGAAGACUGCAAGGCUAGAAUCUGGCAGAGGGGGGUAGAAUUCCACGUGUAGCAGUGAAAUGCGUAGAGAUGUGGAGGAACACCGAUGGCGAAGGCAGCCCCCUGGGUCAAGAUUGACGCUCAUGCACGAAAGCGUGGGGAGCAAACAGGACUAGAUACCCUGGUAGUCCACGCCCUAAACGAUGUCUACUAGUUGUCGGGUUUUAAUUAACUUGGUAACGCAGCUAACGCGUGAAGUAGACCGCCUGGGGGAGUACGGUCGCAAAGAUUAAAAACUCAAAGGAAUUGACGG